CAGUGUUCCGGGCUUGCAAACACAAUGGAUGUUCAAGUUUUGAGAUUUGAUCAUGUCUCCAAAACUUCCAUUCUAAGGCCCUAGUUUGCGGAGGCCACUCCAAGUAAUCACCCCUAUUCUUUCUGUUAUUAUACUGGGUGACUGAAAAAUGUGAUGAGAAACCUUUAUCUGACAUUUUUUUAAUCCAAUUAAAUUUCACUUUUUGAUACCAUUCAUUCCUUCAGAUUUUUGUUCUAUUAUUUUCUCCUGCCACUUCUGGUCCUCCUUUUUUUUUUUAAAUUUUUUUCCUUUUUGUACUUAUGUAAGGGUUUUUUAUGCUGCAUGCCAGAUUGGGUUUUAUUGAUUGUGCUGAUUUUUGUUCGCUGCUUCGUUUUGGGUUUCAGGUUUUAAACGGUUUAAACGCAU
Molecule: unclassified non-coding RNA, 405 nt
Filed under: Hevea brasiliensis (rubber tree)
Lineage: Eukaryota; Viridiplantae; Streptophyta; Magnoliopsida; Malpighiales; Euphorbiaceae
Source: RNAcentral